Molecule: ribosomal RNA, 274 nt
Filed under: uncultured bacterium
Lineage: Bacteria
Description: partial 16S ribosomal RNA
Rfam family: Bacterial small subunit ribosomal RNA
Source: RNAcentral
AUACGGAGGGGGCUAGCGUUGUUCGGAAUUACUGGGCGUAAAGCGCGCGUAGGCGGAUUGGUCAGUUGGGGGUGAAAUCCCGAGGCUUAACCUCGGAACUGCCUUCAAAACUGCCAGUCUUGAGUCCGGGAGAGGUGAGUGGAAUUCCUAGUGUAGAGGUGAAAUUCGUAGAUAUUAGGAAGAACACCAGUGGCGAAGGCGGCUCACUGGCCCGGUACUGACGCUGAGGUGCGAAAGCGUGGGGAGCAAACAGGAUUAGAAACCCCAGUAGUCC